RNAcentral lists this ribosomal RNA (115 nucleotides) under Amphiprion percula (orange clownfish). Lineage: Eukaryota; Metazoa; Chordata; Actinopteri; Pomacentridae. The record is from RNAcentral.
GUUUGUUUUUGAGACUGAAUACACCUGAUCUCAUCUGAUCUGCAAAGCUAAGCAGGGUUGGGCCUGGUUAGUAUUUGGAUGGGAGACUACCUGGGAAUACCAGGUGCUGUAAGCG